Molecule: ribosomal RNA, 466 nt
Filed under: uncultured bacterium
Lineage: Bacteria
Description: partial 16S ribosomal RNA
Rfam family: Bacterial small subunit ribosomal RNA
Source: RNAcentral
GAUGAACGCUGGCGGCGUGCUUAACACAUGCAAGUCGAACGAUGAAGCCCAGCUUGCUGGGUGGAUUAGUGGCGAACGGGUGAGUAACACGUGAGUAACCUGCCCUUGACUCUGGGAUAAGCCUGGGAAACUGGGUCUAAUACUGGAUAUGACUUCUCAUCGCAUGGUGGAGGGUGGAAAGAUUUAUUGGUCUUGGAUGGACUCGCGGCCUAUCAGCUUGUUGGUGAGGUAAUGGCUCACCAAGGCGACGACGGGUAGCCGGCCUGAGAGGGUGACCGGCCACACUGGGACUGAGACACGGCCCAGACUCCUACGGGAGGCAGCAGUGGGGAAUAUUGCACAAUGGGCGCAAGCCUGAUGCAGCGACGCCGCGUGAGGGAUGACGGCCUUCGGGUUGUAAACCUCUUUCAGUAGGGAAGAAGCGAGAGUGACGGUACCUGCAGAAGAAGCGCCGGCUAACUACGUG